AUGAACGCUGGCGGCGUGCCUCAUCCAUGCAAGUCGCGCGAACAGACGAGGAGCUUGCUCCUCUGACGUUAGCGGCGGACGGGUGAGUAACACGUGGAUAACCUACCUAUAAGACUGGGAUAACUUCGGGAAACCGGAGCUAAUACCGGAUAAUAUAUUGAACCGCAUGGUUCAAUAGUGAAAGACGGUUUUGCUGUCACUUAUAGAUGGAUCCGCGCCGCAUUAGCUAGUUGGUAAGGUAACGGCUUACCAAGGCAACGAUGCGUAGCCGACCUGAGAGGGUGAUCGGCCACACUGGAACUGAGACACGGUCCAGACUCCUACGGGAGGCAGCAGUAGGGAAUCUUCCGCAAUGGGCGAAAGCCUGACGGAGCAACGCCGCGUGAGUGAUGAAGGUCUUCGGAUCGUAAAACUCUGUUAUUAGGGAAGAACAAAUGUGUAAGUAACUAUGCACGUCUUGACGGUACCUAAUCAGAAAGCCACGGCUAACUACGUG
This 496-nucleotide ribosomal RNA is filed under the name uncultured bacterium. RNAcentral describes it as "partial 16S ribosomal RNA". It matches the Rfam family "Bacterial small subunit ribosomal RNA", at positions 29 to 507 of the family's 1533-position model. The record is from RNAcentral.